Long non-coding RNA from Myxocyprinus asiaticus (Chinese sucker), 1400 nucleotides. RefSeq lists it as uncharacterized. NCBI's taxonomy places the organism in Eukaryota, Metazoa, Chordata, Actinopteri, Cypriniformes, Catostomidae. The transcript has 3 exons. The record is from RefSeq and is a predicted model, not a curated record.
GGGGGCUGCGAGCUACACUGAUUACUUGGUCCUGUGCCACUGCUUUAGCCAUGAAGAAUUUACGAAGAGAAAUGAGGCAGCAUCAUCAAGUUAUCUUCAAUCAAGUUAUCAUCAAAUAUCAAAAGAGACAAAGUUGCCAGUGGAGGGAGAACGGCAGUGGUAGAGCAUCAGCAGACGAAAAAGCAUAGAGUCUCUCUGACUGCCCAUGCUGGUGUGCCCUCAGUCACCACAUUCUUCAAGAAGAAGACAAAUGCCCCGUGUACCUACGAACAAUCUUUGAAGAUCCGCUGACUGAACUUUGGGUGGCCUUUGUACAUGGGAACUUAACUGUAUUCCAUGAAACAAUUAAGAUGCUUGAAGGACAGGACCGUUGUGCUGUUGAGUCUAAUGCAGUUCUAAGGAACUUUGAGGCAAAACUGGCAGCAAGAUGUGAUGAAAACUUCAUUCCUGUUUUGGUGAGAGGACUACUCAGAGAGCUUGUGGAAAACGGAGCAAUUUCUAAAGAGUCUUUUCUCGAAACAUCUAAAUCAUUCUUCACAACUGCAGUAACCUACAUAAAAGCAUGGGGCAAGCACACAGACGAUCUCAAAGACCUGCAAUGUCUCCUUUUGAAAAAGCAAAUUCAGCGUGAAGAAAUUCAGAAGGCAGUAGCCACACUGGAGGAGAAAUGCCCUAAUGUGACCAUCAAUGAGGAUGCACUGUUUGAUGAGGUCACUAGCCUGCAAGAGUUCUUAAAGGGGGAAUCACUUGAAAAAAAACAAUUAUAAUAAAAAUGAAACACCACUUUGUCAAAGUUAACAGAACAGAUAAAGAACAAGGAACUACAUCAGCUGAUUUCAUAGCAUCUUAAACAUGGUAUAGAAGGAAUAAUGUAAAAUGUAAACAUAUUUACCAUGAAAGGUUUGAAAAUGCACAAAACAAAAUGCUCAGUACCAUGUUGUGAUCAGUUCACUUCACUAGUUGACUUCUGCCCUGCUAAACAAGUAGUAAUUGUAAAAUAAGGAAACCUAGUCUGCAUAUUUCUCAGUUGAAUGUAUUUUCCUCAGGAUUGCUCUGUCUUUGUCCAGUUUCUCCAUAAACUCAUGGCAGGGGAGGUUGAAAUUUGUCUUCACAAUAAGCAUGGCUUUGAUAGUAGAAACAGUGAAUCUAUUUCUUGAUGCUAUCCAUGUAUCAUUCAUCUGAGAGAACACUCUCUCAACUGGUGCAUUACUUCCUGGCAAACACAUGGCAACUGAUGAUAAUUUAGACAGGUUAGUAUGCUGGAUGUCAUUGUCUUGAAAGAAGGUGAACACUGUUCUCCAUCUCUGACAAUUGAUGCCACUUAAUGUCCUCUGUGCAAUGUUGAAAUAAAAAAAUGAAUUAGAAUUACAGUAAUUCAGUUCAACUAAUUGAAUUAGAAA